GAUAGCCCUCAAGCCUAGGUUCUUAAGAGCUGGAUGGAUGAAGAUUCUAAGCUGUUGGAGGAAUCGCUUUCAACUGUCUGUCUGAAGCUGGAUUUCAACACUGGAGCUGUGAAUCUGGGACUCUCCCUGGAAAACCCAUCUUUCAAGCUGCUUGCCUUAGAUUAUCAUCAAGAAGGGGUUGAGAGGAAAUCGCCAUUCAUUCUGAUGGACAGAGUGAUUUUGGAAGAGAAUUUCUCCCUUCCUGGAUCUUCUAAGGACUUUAUAACUGGAUUACUGCAGCCUGACCCACCAAGCACUCUGGAGAGGAUCUUCCUCUGUCUUCACUUUUGAAGAAGACUCAUGACCCCACAUGACUUGUGUUGGAAUUGGAUUGUAGUGUGGCAGAAUUGUUCAGAGCCUCGCUCUCUUUUCUAGAGACAUCCAAGAUCAAAAGGCAAGACAAAAGUCAGGAUUGCUGGUGAUGGCCAGGACGCAGUGACCAUGGCCAUUGGACCUUGGCAUCAGCGCUAAGAGUUCUGUAUUGCUGGCUUCGGCCCUUUUCAGUGCUUGUCUGCCCAUUGUGCUGGGAAAAGACUUCACAUAUUUGGAGUAGUUGAUGCCUCUAGAUCGCCAAAAGGUUUAAAGCCUGUUGGUUACCAUCGAGUGGUUUAGUCUGUCUGCUGAGAUGGGUUUACUGGGAUGUGGCUACAGCUUCUUCAUUCUCAAUGGAAUUGAUAAAUUUGUGGGGUGGAGUUUCCAUACCCUCAAGAGGACCUCAACGCCACUGAAAAUAGAAAAGACCAAAUGGGGUCCCAUUCAACCCCAGAUAUCCAGAUACCAGGUACUUACACAAUAAUUCCCAGGAGAUAGUGAAGCCAUUGGAACAACUAUUAAAGACCUGCUGAAUGCAGGAGUAGUAUGUCCCACUUCUUGUGAAUAUAACUCUUCCAUUUCACUAGUGAAAAUGGCGGUGGAUUAUAAAGCAAGGCAGUAAAGAAGCUACCAGGAGCAACCCCUAAUAUUAUUACCCUAAUUGUAAACAUAAUCAAGGCCCCUGGGGACUGAUUUGGAGUAAUCACCUUGCCAAUGUCUCCUUUGCAUGCUGACCAUCAAGAUCAAUUUGCUUUUAUUUUGGAAAGGAAACCAGUAUACCUUUACCGCCUUGCCACAGGGGAGCAGUAACUCAAUUUCUCUGGUUCUAAGUCAAAUUGGACAAGAUCUGCAUGUAGUUUACUCUGCCCCAGGAGUUUUUGUGAUGUAUUACAUUGACAACAUCAUCAUCCAAAGCAAAGACUUAGAAAGUGAGCAGAGAGCCCUAAAGAUUAUUUGUGCCACCUCAAAACAUGGAGACUGGACAUUAGCUCUGAGAAGGAAGAGAGGUUGACUUCUGUGAUCUUAUAAUUUUCAUGGGAAAAGGACUCUGAAAAGGAGGUCUUGAUGCCUGGUGCAGGAAACACAAAGUGGAUGUUGGUCCCUUGGGGAACCACCUAUACCACUUGCAUAAAUUCCUGAAAGGAGACCCCCAUGACCUUGCCUGUGUGGAUUGCAGUUAGAGUCCGGAUACUCCUGGUUGGUUACAAGGCAGAAGUUUCUCCCAUUAAUAUUACUGAUGUUGUAAGUUUAACCAACCCCACUGACCAGGGACAGGCUGGUACCACCCCUAGCUAAUGAAAAAACUCCUUUUGUGCUUUCUAUUGGCUGAUUCCCUCCCUUCAUGGCAAAGGGCAUCUAGGUAGUGUCUUGGCUAGAGCUCCUGGCCUGGAGUCAGGAUCACUUGAAUUCCAAUGGAAAGACUCUCUGUUUGCCUCAGUUUCCUCACCUAUAAAAUGAGAAUAAUAAUAGCCCUAACUCCUUGGAUAGUAGCGAGGAUCAAAAAAAGUAACAUUUGUAAAACAGCACAAUUCCUGGCACCAGUGGAUGCUUUAUAAAUAAGUGCUUAUUCCCUUCUUUUCUUCCUCCUCUUUUCCUUUCUUUUCUUUCCAUAUCCUCUAGCCCUUUGGAGCAGAGGAAGGACAGGGAGGAGGAUGAAGACUCAUACUCCUGGCUCCUAUUGUGUCCAUUCCUCCUUUCUUUCUGCCCCUGCCCCUGUGUAGGUGCUUUCCAAAUAUCUACCUCACUCUAUCCAUGUUCUGAUUCCCUUUUCUAUCCCUUCUUCCCAAUUCACUCCUUCUCUUUUGCUUCAAGGGGUUCAAUUUAAGGGUUUUGUUUUUGUACUUCCAGCACCUCCCACAGAAUCUUGCAAAUGUAUGAAGUCAAUUAAGGCUUAUUGAGUUGAAAAUUAAAUUAAAUUGAGGCUAGGACUACAGAAAUUCUCAUCUCCAUUUUACAAGUGUAUAAACUAAGACUCAGAAAGGUUAUGUGACUUACAUCAUAGUCUAGUAAGUGUUGGCAGUAGGGUUUGAACCCAGGUGUCUCUGACUUGGGUUCAAUAUGCUUGUCACCAUAUUGUGGUGUCUCCAAUGGUACAGUUGAGCUUAAUGUUCUUGAAAGAUGUCUUUCCAAAUUUGAUAAAUGAUUCUGGGAGGCAAAGCUAAACUUGGCACCAGUGUCAAAUCUGGCAUCCAUCAGUGUCCUCUUCCUUUGUCUCCUUGUCUAGUAUCCUCAAAUCCUCAUGCCCACUAGAGAGUUAGAACUACUAACAGGUAGUAGCAUUGGCUGUGUAGACACUAAUGCAGGGGAGACACAGAGGGAUGCUUAAACUUUUCUUUUUAUAAAUGUACAUUUUUUUUAAUGCCAGAAAUUCUGUUCCCCAUCAUUUAUUUUGUGCUGGGUUAACUUGCACAUCUUUUAGUGAAGAUCUGAAACCUCCCCCAGACAGUGACACCUGGGGGCUAUGAUUGUCAAAACUUGCCCUUUGCUACAAAUGCUUAUAGCAGCUUCAGGCACACUUGCCAUAGGCUGUCUCAUUGUAAGGCCUCUCUUGGUUUUGCCACCCACCAGACAUUGCUUUAAGAUUUGGGUAUUUACUCACCUCUUUUCUUUCCUCCAUUACUAAUCCAUCCCUGGUCUAGCUUUCAUUUCUCUUAAUGUCUUACUCUUUGCUUUCCAAGCUAAUUAAAUAAAUAAACACACCCAAAUGGAUUAAAGGAUCA
Molecule: long non-coding RNA, 3071 nt
Organism: Monodelphis domestica (gray short-tailed opossum)
Lineage: Eukaryota; Metazoa; Chordata; Mammalia; Didelphimorphia; Didelphidae
Source: Ensembl